CCAUGAAAGGAUUUGAGUUUUCUUUUUUUUUAAUGUGAAUCCAAAGGUGGCAUUUACAAAAGGUGGAGAAGGAGUUCUCUACUGAGGGACAUGGAUACAAAAAGCAGAUGACAACACAGGAAGAAAAGAUACACAAAGAGGAGAAGGUGGUGUGAAGAUGGAAGCCAAGGCUGGUGAUACCAGUUGGAGAGCACCGACGACUACCCGCAGCCACCUGAAGCUAGGAGAGAGGCAUAGGAUUGUUUUCCUUCAGACCCUCUGGAAAGACCAGACCUUCCCACGCCUUGAUUUCAGACUUUGGCAUCCCACAUUGUGAGAGAAUAAAAUUUUGUUUUUGAAGCCAA
Non-coding RNA from Callithrix jacchus (white-tufted-ear marmoset), 344 nucleotides. The record is from RefSeq and is a predicted model, not a curated record. Lineage: Eukaryota; Metazoa; Chordata; Mammalia; Primates; Cebidae.